Molecule: ribosomal RNA, 293 nt
Filed under: uncultured eukaryote
Lineage: Eukaryota
Description: partial 18S ribosomal RNA
Rfam family: Eukaryotic small subunit ribosomal RNA
Source: RNAcentral
GGUUGAUCCUGCCAGUAGUCAUAUGCUUGUCCUAAAGAUUAAGCCAUGCAUGUCCAAGUAUAAGCGAUUGUACGGUGAAACUGCGAAAGGCUCAUUAAAUCAGUGAUAGUUUACAUGAUGAAGACGAUUACAUGGAUAACCGUGGUAAUUCUAGAGCUAAUACAUGCGCUGAGGGGUGGCGAGAGCGGCCUCUGCAUUUAUUAGAUAAAACCAAAUCAAGGCAACUUGAGUUAUGGCGAGUCAUGAUAACUGAGCGGAUCGUAUGGCCUCGAGCUGACGACGCAUCAUUCAAA